This 71-nucleotide transfer RNA is filed under the name Methanobacteriota archaeon. RNAcentral describes it as "Euryarchaeota archaeon tRNA-Gly". It matches the Rfam family "tRNA". From Rfam's summary of the family: Transfer RNA (tRNA) molecules are approximately 80 nucleotides in length. Their secondary structure includes four short double-helical elements and three loops (D, anti-codon, and T loops). Further hydrogen bonds mediate the characteristic L-shaped molecular structure. tRNAs have two regions of fundamental functional importance: the anti-codon, which is responsible for specific mRNA codon recognition, and the 3' end, to which the tRNAs corresponding amino acid is attached (by aminoacyl-tRNA synthetases). tRNAs cope with the degeneracy of the genetic code in two manners: having more than one tRNA (with a specific anti-codon) for a particular amino acid; and 'wobble' base-pairing, i.e. permitting non-standard base-pairing at the 3rd anti-codon position. The record is from RNAcentral. Lineage: Archaea; Methanobacteriati; Methanobacteriota.
GCGGCGGUAGUCUAGCGGUAGGACGUGGGCCUUCCAAGCCCCCGACGUGGGUUCGACUCCCGCCCGCCGCA